This 1372-nucleotide ribosomal RNA is filed under the name uncultured bacterium. RNAcentral describes it as "bacterial SSU rRNA". It matches the Rfam family "Bacterial small subunit ribosomal RNA", at positions 28 to 1381 of the family's 1533-position model. The record is from RNAcentral.
GAUGAACGCUGGCGGCGUGCCUAAUACAUGCAAGUCGAGCGAACGGACGAGAAGCUUGCUUCUCUGAUGUUAGCGGCGGACGGGUGAGUAACACGUGGAUAACCUACCUAUAAGACUGGGAUAACUUCGGGAAACCGGAGCUAAUACCGGAUAAUAUUUUGAACCGCAUGGUUCAAAAGUGAAAGACGGUCUUGCUGUCACUUAUAGAUGGAUCCGCGCUGCAUUAGCUAGUUGGUAAGGUAACGGCUUACCAAGGCAACGAUGCAUAGCCGACCUGAGAGGGUGAUCGGCCACACUGGAACUGAGACACGGUCCAGACUCCUACGGGAGGCAGCAGUAGGGAAUCUUCCGCAAUGGGCGAAAGCCUGACGGAGCAACGCCGCGUGAGUGAUGAAGGUCUUCGGAUCGUAAAACUCUGUUAUUAGGGAAGAACAUAUGUGUAAGUAACUGUGCACAUCUUGACGGUACCUAAUCAGAAAGCCACGGCUAACUACGUGCCAGCAGCCGCGGUAAUACGUAGGUGGCAAGCGUUAUCCGGAAUUAUUGGGCGUAAAGCGCGCGUAGGCGGUUUUUUAAGUCUGAUGUGAAAGCCCACGGCUCAACCGUGGAGGGUCAUUGGAAACUGGAAAACUUGAGUGCAGAAGAGGAAAGUGGAAUUCCAUGUGUAGCGGUGAAAUGCGCAGAGAUAUGGAGGAACACCAGUGGCGAAGGCGACUUUCUGGUCUGUAACUGACGCUGAUGUGCGAAAGCGUGGGGAUCAAACAGGAUUAGAUACCCUGGUAGUCCACGCCGUAAACGAUGAGUGCUAAGUGUUAGGGGGUUUCCGCCCCUUAGUGCUGCAGCUAACGCAUUAAGCACUCCGCCUGGGGAGUACGACCGCAAGGUUGAAACUCAAAGGAAUUGACGGGGACCCGCACAAGCGGUGGAGCAUGUGGUUUAAUUCGAAGCAACGCGAAGAACCUUACCAAAUCUUGACAUCCUUCGACAACUCUAGAGAUAGAGCCUUCCCCUUCGGGGGACAAAGUGACAGGUGGUGCAUGGUUGUCGUCAGCUCGUGUCGUGAGAUGUUGGGUUAAGUCCCGCAACGAGCGCAACCCUUAAGCUUAGUUGCCAUCAUUAAGUUGGGCACUCUAAGUUGACUGCCGGUGACAAACCGGAGGAAGGUGGGGAUGACGUCAAAUCAUCAUGCCCCUUAUGAUUUGGGCUACACACGUGCUACAAUGGACAAUACAAAGGGCAGCGAAACCGCGAGGUCAAGCAAAUCCCAUAAAGUUGUUCUCAGUUCGGAUUGUAGUCUGCAACUCGACUACAUGAAGCUGGAAUCGCUAGUAAUCGUAGAUCAGCAUGCUACGGUGAAUACGUUCCCGGGUCU